RNAcentral lists this long non-coding RNA (710 nucleotides) under Trifolium pratense (red clover). Its description in RNAcentral is "long non-coding RNA (TPRA_LNC001542)". The record is from RNAcentral. Lineage: Eukaryota; Viridiplantae; Streptophyta; Magnoliopsida; Fabales; Fabaceae.
AGUCAACAAUUAUAGUUGUUUUUUGGCAUAAUGCUGCCAACGACUUUUCAACCCUAUUGAUGAAUUAUUGACCUUUUUCUACCGACUAUGUAACUAACAAAUCCAGAUCACACAUAAUCUGAUUGCUUCUCUCUGUUUCCACUAAAUCAGUGUUUUUUUUUUCCUCUCAUAUACUCGAUUCUUUUUAUAAGAGACCGUUCAAUUUUUUAGGUUUAUUAAAUAAAUAAUAUAUCUAAUCUAUGUUAUAAACUGGAUAGAUACUUUAUUCAACUAAUCUUAAAAGAUCAACUAUCUCAUAUAAAAUGACCCGAAGGAGUACAUAAUUUAAAUUUAUAACAGAAAGAACAAAGAUAAAGCACAAUUUAAUUAUGUUUAAUAUUAGCAAAUUAUCAAAUAUACAAGACACUUACACAAGGAAUAAUUUUUUUGGAAAUGGAACUAUUGAAUAAUAACACUGAAAAACAUGAACUUCACUGACUCAUAGAGCAUAAAACAAAACUACUACACAGGAAACUCACGAGCCAACUGAAAAGAAUCCCCUGAUGUUGGAUUCACAAGAUGUUUCCUAGGACCACCACGAUGGCUUCCAUGAUUCAUCCAUGACUUCCUUUUCGAACUCAUUCGCGGUUCGCGAGCUCGAUCCUCUCUUGUUACUUUGACCAUAGGUACUGUCACUGUGUUUCUUGAGUGAACUAUAGAUAUCAAAGNNN